Molecule: non-coding RNA, 378 nt
Organism: Epinephelus lanceolatus (giant grouper)
Lineage: Eukaryota; Metazoa; Chordata; Actinopteri; Perciformes; Serranidae
Source: RefSeq, a predicted model, not a curated record
GACAAAAAGAAAUGGCUGAAAGCAGGAACACCAGAAUUCUUCAAAUUGGAGAAGGUCAUGUCGAACAAGCGAAUCCUGAAAGCUGUGGAAAAAAUCAGUCCCCACCACCAAACAUCAUCUGUGGAGGCUUUCCACAGUGUCAUCCUUCGUUUUGCACCCAAGAACGUGGUUUUUCUUUUUCUUGGAAUGCUGUGCAGACUCUACUUGGCUGUACUCUACUACAAUGAGAAUGCUGACCGACCACAAGCCAAAACUUCUGCUGGAGAACCAGUCUUCAAGGUGCACUUCCCAAAGGCCAAGAAGGGAGAGUGUGUGGCUAAACCAGUUAAGACUGAGCCAACUUUUCGUAAGUUUAAAAUACUUUAUUUUGUAUCCAAA